RNAcentral lists this ribosomal RNA (439 nucleotides) under uncultured bacterium. Its description in RNAcentral is "partial 16S ribosomal RNA". It matches the Rfam family "Bacterial small subunit ribosomal RNA", at positions 339 to 795 of the family's 1533-position model. The record is from RNAcentral.
CUACGGGUCGCAGCAGUGAGGAAUAUUGCACAAUGGGGGGAACCCUGAUGCAGCAACGCCGCGUGGAGGAUGACGCAUUUCGGUGUGUAAACUCCUUUUAUAUGUCAAGAAAAUGACGGUAGCAUAUGAAUAAGCACCGGCUAACUCCGUGCCAGCAGCCGCGGUAAUACGGAGGGUGCAAGCGUUACUCGGAAUCACUGGGCGUAAAGGACGCGUAGGCGGGUUAUCAAGUCAGGUGUGAAAUCCUACAGCUUAACUGUAGAACUGCACUUGAAACUGGUAACCUAGAGUAUGGGAGGGGCAGAUGGAAUUAGUGGUGUAGGGGUAAAAUCCGUAGAUAUCACUAGGAAUACCUAAAGCGAAGGCGAUCUGCUGGAACAUAACUGACGCUAAGGCGUGAAAGCGUGGGGAGCAAACAGGAUUAGAUACCCUCGUAGUC